This 210-nucleotide long non-coding RNA is filed under the name Carica papaya (papaya). RNAcentral's name for it is "long non-coding RNA (CPAP_LNC000906)". The record is from RNAcentral. Lineage: Eukaryota; Viridiplantae; Streptophyta; Magnoliopsida; Brassicales; Caricaceae.
AAUCCCAAGCGGAGCUGCCACGGUUAAAACCCCAAAACCCCUCCGAUGAGUCCCUUCUCGUUCCCGUUUCAUGUGAUUUUUUGAUCAUUCUGUUCAUCAUCCUUUUCUGUGCAGGGUAGCUAAAGAAAGAACUUUAGCAGGGAAGGAGGAUCGGCAGAGCCGCCGCACCUGGAGAUCCCUCUGCCGGUAAAUUUGAUUUUUUUUUGUGAC